CAGAUUAUAUUUUCAGGGAUCAUUUCUAAUAGUUCAUUACUAGAGAGGUUUCCCUGAAUGUAUAGAGCACCCCAAAACCACGAGGAGGAGGCACAUUCUCUCCUGGGUAUGAAACCUGUCUUGGUGUUGCCUCAGUAACUGCCAUUUGCCACUGAUGAUCAAUCUUCUCUCUCUUUUGAGAGAGUAAAAGGGAGAGGACACUGUCUGAGUGGU
Molecule: small nucleolar RNA, 213 nt
Organism: Molossus molossus (Pallas's mastiff bat)
Lineage: Eukaryota; Metazoa; Chordata; Mammalia; Chiroptera; Molossidae
Product: small nucleolar RNA U3
Exons: 1
Source: RefSeq, a predicted model, not a curated record